GUGCCAGCGCCGCGGUAACACCAGCGGCUCAAGUGGUAGUCGAUUUUAUUGGGUCUAAAGCGUCCGUAGCCGGAUCGUCAAGUCCCUUGUGAAAUCGGGCGGCUUAACCGCUCGGCUUGCAAGAGAAACUGACGUUCUUGGGGUCGGCAGGCGCCGAGGGUACUCCGGAGGUAGCGGUGAAAUGCUAUAAUCCCUGGGGGACCGCCGGUGGCGAAAGCGCUCGGCGGGGCCGAACCCGACGGUGAGGGACGAAGGCCAGGGGAGCGAACCGGAUUAGAUACCCGGGUAGUCCUGGCUGUAAAGUAUGUGGGCCAGGUGCCAGACGUUCCUCGAGAGCGCUUGGUGCCGAAGGGAAGCCGUUAAGCCCACCACCUGGGGAGUACGGUCGCAAGACUGAAACUUAAAGAAAUUGGCGGGGGAGCACCACA
RNAcentral lists this ribosomal RNA (428 nucleotides) under uncultured candidate division MSBL1 archaeon. Its description in RNAcentral is "bacterial SSU rRNA". It matches the Rfam family "Archaeal small subunit ribosomal RNA", at positions 455 to 883 of the family's 1478-position model. Lineage: Archaea; Methanobacteriati; Methanobacteriota. The record is from RNAcentral.